UGGGGGGGGGGCCGCAGGCACUUGUGCCGGCGCAGCCUCUCGCAUCAAGUGAGGACUAAUCCCAUCCCUGGGCCUGCUCUCUGUUCCCUUCCUGCAUUAGAGAUUGGCUAUAAGGAGAAGGCUGACGGCUGCAGCAUGAAGCGCAUUAUUACCUUGUGAUUCCAUGACCCUCCUCUAUGCAUCCCUAACUCUCGAAAGCUGAUUCAGCUUUCAGCUAGUGCUCUGGUGAGUCCUCUGCUGCAACAGAAGCUCCUAACUGAGGAGACUACCUCUUCAAAGGAUGGCAAGCAUGCCUUCAGAUACAGACGAGGCAACCUAGAUGGAUGGCGGAGUGAGGGAGGCGAGUGAUCUGGGAAGACAGAAGAUUUUCCCGGAGAGCAAAAUGAACCCUUGAUGAAGCCUUUGGGAUUAAAGAGGUGGCUUAGUUCUUUCACAGCAUCCACCCUUCAGCCCAUUUAAGCACCAUGCCUUUUCCGAGAAAUGAAGGGCAAAAGAAGCACUGAUAAGCAAUAAAGAGAUAAGCAGCAAAGUACUCGUUUCACUGGUGUUUCCCAGUGAAAAAUGAACCCUCAAGCACACCCAGUGAUUUGUUGUCUAAAGCAGCAAAGCUCACCCAAGUUCCCGAUUUUGCUUCCAGCAGAGAUGCUCAUUGCUCAUUCUCACACCCUGGAGCAACUGGGACUCGUUACACGGCACUCGCUCUUCCCGCCCGCACCUGCCGGGGUGCAGCGAGGACCAGCUUAUAUAUGCACAUAUACAUUUUA
Empidonax traillii (willow flycatcher) is the source of this 764-nucleotide long non-coding RNA. RefSeq lists it as uncharacterized. NCBI's taxonomy places the organism in Eukaryota, Metazoa, Chordata, Aves, Passeriformes, Tyrannidae. The transcript has 3 exons. The record is from RefSeq and is a predicted model, not a curated record.